GAUGAAGAACGUAGCGAAAUGCGAUAAGUAAUGUGAAUUGCAGAAUUCAGUGAAUCAUCGAAUCUUUGAACGCACAUUGCGCUCGCCAGUAUUCUGGCGAGCAUGCCUGUUCGAGCGUCAUUUCAACCAUCAAGCUCUGCUUGGUGUUGGGUGUUUGUUCCGCCUCUGUGUGUGAACUCGCCUCAAAACAAUUGGCAGCCGGCGUACUUGUUUCGGAGCGCAGCACAUUUUGCGAUCCAGAUCAACGUACAGCGGCAUCCAAGAAGCCUUAUUUAACGCUCUUGACCUCGGAUCAGGUAGGGAUACCCGCUGAACUUAAGCAUAUCAAUAAGCGGAGGA
RNAcentral lists this unclassified non-coding RNA (339 nucleotides) under soil metagenome. Its description in RNAcentral is "partial contains 5.8S ribosomal RNA, internal transcribed spacer 2, and large subunit ribosomal RNA". The stretch from base 1 to 120 matches the Rfam family "5.8S ribosomal RNA", at positions 35 to 154 of the family's 154-position model. The record is from RNAcentral.